Molecule: non-coding RNA, 72 nt
Organism: Teladorsagia circumcincta
Lineage: Eukaryota; Metazoa; Nematoda; Chromadorea; Rhabditida; Trichostrongylidae
Source: the annotation of a GenBank genome assembly
GCCUCGGUGGUAGAAUGGUUAGCACUCCUGAUUAGAAAUGACAAGAUCAAGGUUCAAAUCCCGACUUAGGCU